RNAcentral lists this ribosomal RNA (496 nucleotides) under uncultured bacterium. Its description in RNAcentral is "partial 16S ribosomal RNA". It matches the Rfam family "Bacterial small subunit ribosomal RNA", at positions 29 to 507 of the family's 1533-position model. The record is from RNAcentral.
AUGCACGCUGGCGGCGUGCCUAAUACAUGCAAGUCGAGCGAACAGACGAGGAGCUUGCUCCUCUGACGUUAGCGGCGGACGGGUGAGUAACACGUGGAUAACCUACCUAUAAGACUGGGAUAACUUCGGGAAACCGGAGCUAAUACCGGAUAAUAUAUUGAACCGCAUGGUUCAAUAGUGAAAGACGGUUUUGCUGUCACUUAUAGAUGGAUCCGCGCCGCAUUAGCUAGUUGGUAAGGUAACGGCUUACCAAGGCAACGAUGCGUAGCCGACCUGAGAGGGUGAUCGGCCACACUGGAACUGAGACACGGUCCAGACUCCUACGGGAGGCAGCAGUAGGGAAUCUUCCGCAAUGGGCGAAAGCCUGACGGAGCAACGCCGCGUGAGUGAUGAAGGUCUUCGGAUCGUAAAACUCUGUUAUUAGGGAAGAACAAAUGCGUAAGUAACUAUGCACGUCUUGACGGUACCUAAUCAGAAAGCCACGGCUAACUACGUG